AGCUCCAAUAGCGUAUAUUAAAGUUGUUGCAGUUAAAAAGCUCGUAGUUGGAUUUCGGAGCGGGCCAGUUGGUCGGCCGCAAGGUCUGUUACUGACUGGUCUGCUCUUCUUCGCAAAGACUGCGUGUGCUCUUGACUGAGUGUGCGUAGGAUUUACGACGUUUACUUUGAAAAAAUUAGAGUGUUCAAAGCAGGCGCACGGCUUGAAUACAUGAGCAUGGAAUAAUGGAAUAGGACUUUGGUUCUAUUUUGUUGGUUUCUAGGACCGAAGUAAUGAUUAAGAGGGACAAUUGGGGGCAUCCGUAUUUCGUUGUCAGAGGUGAAAUUCUUGGAUUUACGAAAGACGAACAACUGCGAAAGCACUUGCCAAGAGUGUUUUCAUUAAUCAAGAACGAAAGUAG
RNAcentral lists this ribosomal RNA (400 nucleotides) under phytoplankton environmental sample. Its description in RNAcentral is "partial small subunit ribosomal RNA". It matches the Rfam family "Eukaryotic small subunit ribosomal RNA", at positions 587 to 992 of the family's 1831-position model. The record is from RNAcentral.